UACGUGGGGUGCGAGCGUUAUCCGGAUUUACUGGGCGUAAAGCGUACCGUCGGUGACUUGAUAAGUUAUUUGUCUAAGCCUAGGGCUCAACUCUAGAAAGGCAGGUAAAACUAUCAGGACUGAGUCUGUUCGGGGAACUUGGAAUUCUCGGUGGAGGGGUGAAAUCCGUAGAUAUCGAGAGGAACGCCAAGCGCGAAGGCAGAGUUCUAGGACACGACUGACACUCAUGGACGAAAGCUAGGGGAGCAAAAGGG
This 254-nucleotide ribosomal RNA is filed under the name uncultured bacterium. RNAcentral's name for it is "partial 16S ribosomal RNA". It matches the Rfam family "Bacterial small subunit ribosomal RNA", at positions 524 to 776 of the family's 1533-position model. The record is from RNAcentral.